Molecule: ribosomal RNA, 490 nt
Filed under: uncultured bacterium
Lineage: Bacteria
Description: partial 16S ribosomal RNA
Rfam family: Bacterial small subunit ribosomal RNA
Source: RNAcentral
AUUGAACGCUGGCGGCAUGCUUUACACAUGCAAGUCGGACGGCAGCACAGAGAAGCUUGCUUCUUGGGUGGCGAGUGGCGAACGGGUGAGUAACAUAUCGGAACGUACCGAGCAGUGGGGGAUAACUAAUCGAAAGAUUAGCUAAUACCGCAUAUCUUCUGAGGAAGAAAGCAGGGGACCAUUUGGCCUUGCGCUGUUUGAGCGGCCGAUAUCUGAUUAGCUAGUUGGUGGGGUAAAGGCCUACCAAGGCGACGAUCAGUAGCGGGUCUGAGAGGAUGAUCCGCCACACUGGGACUGAGACACGGCCCAGACUCCUACGGGAGGCAGCAGUGGGGAAUUUUGGACAAUGGGCGCAAGCCUGAUCCAGCCAUGUCGCGUGUCUGAAGAAGGCCUUCGGGUUGUAAAGGACUUUUGUCAGGGAAGAAAAGGGCGGGGUUAAUACCCCUGUCUGAUGACGGUACCUGAAGAAUAAGCACCGGCUAACUACGUG